GAUGAACGCUGGCGGCGUGCUUAACACAUGCAAGUCGAACGGAAAGGCCCAAGCUUGCUUGGGUACUCGAGUGGCGAACGGGUGAGUAACACGUGGGUGAUCUGCCCUGCACUUCGGGAUAAGCCUGGGAAACUGGGUCUAAUACCGGAUAGGACCACAUUUUGGAUGGUGUGGUGGAAAGUUUUUCGGUGUGGGAUGAGCUCGCGGCCUAUCAGCUUGUUGGUGGGGUAAUGGCCUACCAAGGCGUCGACGGGUAGCCGGCCUGAGAGGGUGUACGGCCACAUUGGGACUGAGAUACGGCCCAGACCCCUACGGGAGGCAGCAGUGGGGAAUAUUGCACAAUGGGCGCAAGCCUGAUGCAGCGACGCCGCGGGGGGGAUGACGGCCUUCGGGUUGUAAACUCCGUUCGCUAGGGACGAAGCGUUAUGUGACGGUACCUGGAGAAGAAGCACCGGCUAACUACGUG
RNAcentral lists this ribosomal RNA (466 nucleotides) under uncultured bacterium. RNAcentral's name for it is "partial 16S ribosomal RNA". It matches the Rfam family "Bacterial small subunit ribosomal RNA", at positions 28 to 507 of the family's 1533-position model. The record is from RNAcentral.